UACUUCUUACAAUAGAAGCACUCUGUCUGACUUUGGUCAGACUUGGACUUGAACUUCUGGGUCUGGCUCCUAGUACUUUGUACCUUUUUAUUCUUCUUUUUCUUUUCUUUCUUAAAGGGACAAUACCCAUCCGAAGAAGAUCCUCACAUUAUAUUCACCAUCUCCUUAUGGAGCUGGUGAUCCUUCUCAAAAGUCUAUAGCAACCCCAACAGAUCGUAGUAGUUUACUACGGACUUCGUCAUUCGAUAAUGACUGAAAAAUGGUAGGU
RNAcentral lists this long non-coding RNA (268 nucleotides) under Elaeis guineensis (African oil palm). Its description in RNAcentral is "long non-coding RNA (EGUI_LNC041777)". The record is from RNAcentral. Lineage: Eukaryota; Viridiplantae; Streptophyta; Magnoliopsida; Arecales; Arecaceae.